AAAGAGGUGAGUAACGCGUGGGUAACCUGCCUCAUACACAUGGAUAACAUACCGAAAGGUAUGCUAAUACAGGAUAAUAUAAGAGAUUCACAUGGAUUUCUUAUCAAAGCUCCGGCGGUAUGAGAUGGACCCGCGUCUGAUUAGCUAGUUGGUAAGGUAAUGGCUUACCAAGGCGACGAUCAGUAGCCGACCUGAGAGGGUGAUCGGCCACAUUGGAACUGAGACACGGUCCAAACUCCUACGGGAGGCAGCAGUGGGGAAUAUUGCACAAUGGGCGAAAGCCUGAUGCAGCAACGCCGCGUGAGUGAUGAAGGCCUUCGGGUCGUAAAACUCUGUCCUCAAGGAAGAUAAUGACGGUACUUGAGGAGGAAGCCCCGGCUAACUACGUGCCAGCAGCCGCGGUAAUACGUAGGGGGCUAGCGUUAUCCGGAUUUACUGGGCGUAAAGGGUGCGUAGGUGGUUUUUUAAGUCAGGAGUGAAAGGCUACGGCUCAACCGUAGUAAGCUCUUGAAACUGGAAAACUUGAGUGCAGGAGAGGAAAGUGGAAUUCCUAGUGUAGCGGUGAAAUGCGUAGAUAUUAGGAGGAACACCAGUAGCGAAGGCGGCUUUCUGGACUGUAACUGACACUGAGGCACGAAAGCGUGGGGAGCAAACAGGAUUAGAUACCCUGGUAGUCCACGCCGUAAACGAUGAGUACUAUGUGUCGGGGGUUACCCCCCUCGGUGCCGCAGCUAACGCAUUAAGUACUCCGCCUGGGGAGUACGCUCGCAAGAGUGAAACUCAAAGGAAUUGACGG
This 796-nucleotide ribosomal RNA is filed under the name uncultured bacterium. Its description in RNAcentral is "bacterial SSU rRNA". It matches the Rfam family "Bacterial small subunit ribosomal RNA", at positions 100 to 916 of the family's 1533-position model. The record is from RNAcentral.